CACAUCAUGUCAUCUCUUUCAGCGAGAACAGGCAGACACAAACAACGUUACCAGGAUCAACUUAGGCUUGUAGCUGGGUGUAUUCCUUAUAAACUUAACAUGAACGUUGAGGAAAAAAACUGUAGAGUGGAGGAUAGUGUACUUGUCCUCAUGAUCUCGACUCCAAAUCGUGACAAUCUUGUGUUUCCAAAGGGUGGAUGGGAAG
Molecule: unclassified non-coding RNA, 205 nt
Filed under: Hevea brasiliensis (rubber tree)
Lineage: Eukaryota; Viridiplantae; Streptophyta; Magnoliopsida; Malpighiales; Euphorbiaceae
Source: RNAcentral